Molecule: non-coding RNA, 29 nt
Filed under: Mus musculus (house mouse)
Lineage: Eukaryota; Metazoa; Chordata; Mammalia; Rodentia; Muridae
Source: RNAcentral
UUCCUGUAACCCUAGGAUUGCACAGUGGC